CUCUCCUUCUCCUCCAUGAAAUGUGUCUGGAUGAACUCUCCUGCUACUUCCAGCUACCUGCGGCUGACAAGAGCUCAGUUUGAUGACCUGUUAGCUCGGAUCAGUACCGUUUUUUCUCUGACAAACACAAACUACCGGCGUUCUGUUUCUGCGGAUCGGAAUUCAGGAAUUUUCCGCUUUCUCUGCAAGACGACAAAUAAAUAACCUUUACGACAUCAGCCCAUUGGUGAGGUAACCUCUGCCGGUGUCAUUGUUUCUUCAGCUCAUAAACAAAACAACAAAAACAUCUGAGCUGGGUUUAUCGAGCACUAAGAGCGGUAUCUUUACUGAUGUAGUCUACAUUGGACAAAACAAGACCGGGGUCGAAGAGCAGCAGCAUUCAUUAAGGACCUCAUUUUGGUUGCGCUGUUCAGAUGUCCGAAGACGUCCUGAUCCGAGGCCUGUUGAUCCUCAUCUGUGGAGCCAAGGAAACAAGGAGUCUGUUAACACGGGAUACAAGGGUCAAUACAGAAGAGAAGAAGAAAACAUCCGGGUUAAACACUGACCGCCUGGUAAGCUGGGACUCUCGGCUGUAGUCCUGCAGACGUGUCAACGCCACCAGGACUCCAACCAGCACCAACAGAGCAGCCAGUGUCACACUCAGCCCGGCGUAGAAAGCCGUCCUCUGUAUUGGCAGGCUGCAGUCAUCGCCCAUGUACCAGGUGGAGGACAGGUCGACACACCUGAGAAGAGAGGGACGGAAAGAGUUAAACUACAGAGCAGAGAGGAAGCAAACAGAUGCCGCUCUUUACAUUCUCGUCACACCAAACCUCACCUGAUCUGACUAAACUAAAGCUCAGUUUAUAAAAUGAUGUUGUCAAUUUAAUCUUUGAUCUUUGGAAGUCUUAUCUCAGAAAGUAUCCAUGAGCCUGACUGUGCCUUUUUUUUUUUUUAUCUGUGCCUACU
Molecule: long non-coding RNA, 945 nt
Organism: Notolabrus celidotus (New Zealand spotty)
Lineage: Eukaryota; Metazoa; Chordata; Actinopteri; Labriformes; Labridae
Exons: 3
Source: RefSeq, a predicted model, not a curated record